This 253-nucleotide ribosomal RNA is filed under the name uncultured bacterium. RNAcentral describes it as "partial 16S ribosomal RNA". It matches the Rfam family "Bacterial small subunit ribosomal RNA", at positions 524 to 776 of the family's 1533-position model. The record is from RNAcentral.
UACGUAGGGGGCUAGCGUUGUCCGGAAUCAUUGGGCGUAAAGCGCGUGUAGGCGGUCCGGUAAGUCCGCUGUGAAAGUCGAGGGCUCAACCCUCGAAUGCCGGUGGAUACUGUCGGGCUUGAGUACGGGAGAGGAGAGUGGAAUUCCCAGUGUAGAGGUGAAAUUCGUAGAUAUUGGGAAGAACACCGGUGGCGAAGGCGGCUCUCUGGACCGUAACUGACGCUGAGGCGCGAAAGCGUGGGGAGCAAACAGG